AAAGAUGUGAAGAACUUCCUUUUUGGGUCUUUGGAUGUGCCAUUAGUCAACCUGGAGAUGAGUUUGAAGAACUACGUUCAAGAACCUUCAGAAGAGCCUUUUGAUAUUGAUUCUGUACCUAAGGAGGUUAAGUCUCUUCCACUUGCCGAGAAGAA
Camellia sinensis is the source of this 155-nucleotide non-coding RNA. The record is from RefSeq and is a predicted model, not a curated record. Lineage: Eukaryota; Viridiplantae; Streptophyta; Magnoliopsida; Ericales; Theaceae.